GGGGAAUUUUCCGCAAUGGGCGAAAGCCUGACGGAGCAAUACCGCGUGAGGGAGGAAGGCUCUUGGGUUGUAAACCUCUUUUCUCAGGGAAUAAGAACUGAAGGUACCUGAGGAAUCAGCAUCGGCUAACUCCGUGCCAGCAGCCGCGGUAAUACGGAGGAUGCAAGCGUUAUCCGGAAUGAUUGGGCGUAAAGCGUCCGCAGGUGGUUUAUCAAGUCUGCUGUCAAAGAGUUUGGCUCAACCAAAUAAAGGCAGUGGAAACUGACAGACUGGAGUGCGGUAAGGGCAGAGGGAAUUCCUGGUGUAGCGGUGAAAUGCGUAGAGAUCAGGAAGAACACCGGUGGCGAAAGCGCUCUGCUGGGCCGUAACUGACACUGAGGGACGAAAGCUAGGGGAGCGAAUGGGAUUAGAUACCCCAGUANUCA
This 425-nucleotide ribosomal RNA is filed under the name uncultured cyanobacterium. Its description in RNAcentral is "bacterial SSU rRNA". It matches the Rfam family "Bacterial small subunit ribosomal RNA", at positions 356 to 796 of the family's 1533-position model. The record is from RNAcentral. Lineage: Bacteria; Bacillati; Cyanobacteriota.